This is a long non-coding RNA of Folsomia candida, 1385 nucleotides long. RefSeq lists it as uncharacterized. The transcript has 2 exons. The record is from RefSeq and is a predicted model, not a curated record. Lineage: Eukaryota; Metazoa; Arthropoda; Collembola; Entomobryomorpha; Isotomidae.
UUAUCUACAUUUACUUAUUUAUGUGCCAGGCUAUUCUGUUUAACCACAUCAGCAAAAUUAAUUCACUCCUGCACUCUCAAAUUUAUUACGAAGUUGUCCAGAAAAAGUUACAAUUCCCGAGUAUUCCAUCAUCUACAUACAAACUGUAGAUCAUUAUUUCCAUGGGUUGUCGACUCACUCACGAAGAAAGACUGAAAAUUAUUAAAAUACUAAUUAACAAUUCGUACAUGUUAGGAGAAUGGUAUCAGUUUGCCGUACACCUCGGACCCGUCCACAUCCCGGCUUCGGAUAUACGCCUUUGGGUUGAAAAUCAAACACAUAAGCCAAGAUUUCAACUAUUUUCUGAAAUUAUAAAUUCCUGGAAAAGUGCUAAUGGAGACCAGGCUACCUUAGAGAAUUUAGUAAAAUGUCUAACAGACAUUGGAACGGGUAACACAUCUUGUUUAGAAAGCAUACUGCAAAUUGGAAACAAGGAGGACACCAAGUGCAAAGUAGGGGAUGAUGACGACCUAAUUUUGACGGACACAUUUACCCAAUUACACUCUUUUUUCCACCCAGAAAUGCAGUAUCUGUUUGUAACGAAGUACUACGAAAAAUUUGAUUUUCAUAGACAUGAGUGCAACAUUACACUUUCAAAUAGAUCUUUUUGUAAUUUUUUCCUUCAUAAAAACUGGGCGUGUCCUACAUGUGUUCCAGUUUUCAUAAGCAGAUUAGAUUCUCUUGGAAUUAACAAACAUGAUAAUUGUGAAAAAUUAUUGCGCAAAUUAGCGAAAAUUUUGAAUCCUUUACGAAAUCAUUUUAAUGAAAUGUACUAUACAGUUAAAUGUUUUAAUUUGAAAUAUGAAGUAUGUAUGAAUAAUUUUAAUGAAUAUGGAAUAGGAUAAAAACAUUGCACUAUUAAUUCUGUCUGUGUAUUGGCUACAAUUUGGAUUUCUAUUUUGGUUUUUUAUCCUCAGAUAAGUGUGCUAAUGAUUAUGUUAUUUUUAUAAAUUGUUUAUUUUAUUAUAAUGUCACUUGUGGAAGAGCACAUUUUGGACCUCUUUACUUGGAAUUGUAUUUUGUUUUAUGAUUAUGAUCACCUGCUGAUUUAUCUUUACUUGUUUUUUAUAUUAGAAUAGUUAAAUAUAUGGUAUAUUGACCAGUGUGUCACCAAUGGUAGACCAUUGUUGUUGUACUUGUACGAUGUAUGCAAUGAAUUGGGAAAGACACAGUAAUAAAGAUAUACAUACAUUAAGGGCGAAUAAUAUUAGACUGACGAUGAGGGCGACAACAAUUUACAUAGUUUGGCAAUAUUAAAUAUUUAUACAAAACGUUCAUUAUUAGAAUAUUGGAAAUUUCCCUAUUUAUAUUUUAAUUUACCUUACAAAAAUAAAGUUUGAACCCCA